This 281-nucleotide long non-coding RNA is filed under the name Canis lupus familiaris (dog). RNAcentral's name for it is "lncRNA (ENSCAFG00000054233.1)". Lineage: Eukaryota; Metazoa; Chordata; Mammalia; Carnivora; Canidae. The record is from RNAcentral.
ACAAAUAGCACAAUAAACAUCCUUCCAUAUGCUUCCUUGUGCAUAGGUGUGACUGCUUCUUUACACAUUUACAUCACAUGCUUUGUGCUGAAGUAUGUUAAGGGGCAAAAGGACUAUAAAUUUACCAUCUGCUCUAAGACUUUUUGGCCAUAAAGACCGCAGUUAAAACUAUGUUAAUAGCUCAGUUCUGACAAGAAUGAUUCCUUAAUUUUCAUGUCUUAUAGGGUAAGUUAAUUAAAUCCAUUAAGGCUAUUUUAUCACUCCAUAGGCUACUCAGGUUU